RNAcentral lists this small nuclear RNA (103 nucleotides) under Echinops telfairi (small Madagascar hedgehog). Lineage: Eukaryota; Metazoa; Chordata; Mammalia; Afrosoricida; Tenrecidae. The record is from RNAcentral.
GUGCCGGCUUUGUCAGCGCAUCUGUUAACAUUGGAAGCAUACAGAAAAAACUAGCCUGGUCCAUGCACAAACUGACAUGCACAUUAGUGAAGCAAAUAUAUAU